RNAcentral lists this ribosomal RNA (254 nucleotides) under uncultured bacterium. RNAcentral's name for it is "partial 16S ribosomal RNA". It matches the Rfam family "Bacterial small subunit ribosomal RNA", at positions 524 to 776 of the family's 1533-position model. The record is from RNAcentral.
UACGUAGGGGGCGAGCGUUGUCCGGAUUCAUUGGGCGUAAAGAGCUCGUAGGCGGCUUGAUAAGUCGGGUGUGAAACCUCCAGGCUCAACCUGGAGUCGCCACUCGAUACUGUCAUGGCUAGAGUCCGGUAGGGGACCACGGAAUUCCUGGUGUAGCGGUGAAAUGCGCAGAUAUCAGGAAGAACACCAAUGGCGAAGGCAGCUCUCUGGGACGGUACUGACGCUGAGACGCGAAAGCGUGGGGAGCGAACAGG